Molecule: ribosomal RNA, 475 nt
Filed under: uncultured bacterium
Lineage: Bacteria
Description: partial 16S ribosomal RNA
Rfam family: Bacterial small subunit ribosomal RNA
Source: RNAcentral
GAUGAACGCUAACGGCAGGCCUAACACAUGCAAGUCGAGGGAUAAGCCUUCGGGCUAAGACCGGCGCACGGGUGCGUAACGCGUAUACAAUCUGCCUUUUAUCCGGGGGAUAGCCCGAAGAAAUUUGGAUUAAUACCCUAUGGUAUAAGAGCACGGCAUCGUGCACUUAUUAAAGCUACGGCGGUAAAAGAUGAGUAUGCGUUCUAUUAGCUAGUUGGAGAGGUAACGGCUCCCCAAGGCGACGAUAGAUAGGGGUUCUGAGAGGGAUGUCCCCCACACUGGUACUGAGAUACGGACCAGACUCCUACGGGAGGCAGCAGUGAGGAAUAUUGGACAAUGGUCGGAAGACUGAUCCAGCCAUGCCGCGUGCAGGAUGACGGCCUUAUGGGUUGUAAACUGCUUUUGUAAGGGAAGAAUAAGGAGUACGUGUACUUUGAUGACGGUACCUUACGAAUAAGCAUCGGCUAACUCCGUG